GAGGACAGAAAUAACACUGGGACAGACAGAAAAGACAUAAGAAUAGAAGAUAGGAGGAUAAUUUAGUUUGGUUCGCUUAGUUAGGAUAUUAAUACAUGGAGGGUCUAUCGGCUCCAUUGGCAUGUAUUUUAGUUUUGAUUUUAAGUUUAUGUUUGGUAAAUUCUCUAAUAAGAGAUAUGACUAUUUACACAGACAAGCACAUAGGCAUUAAAAACCAUACAAAGCAGACAGAUACAUCUUGAAUAAGACAAUUGACAGAGAAUUGUUACAGGGUAACUAAGGAUGAAUGCCCCAGGGAGAGUUGGACAUGUGGACAAUGAAAGGGGGCAAUCCUACAAGAGAAGGGCUGACAUAAGGAUAGUUUACUGAUCUUACCAAAGACAUUGCUUAGAUAUUCAGCAAAAUUGAUACAUGGCUUGAGCCAUGGGGGAAAUAGGGGGAGUAUGGUAGAGCAGGUGAUAGAACAGGUUAGGAUAAUUACUUAAACAAGAACAUAAUACUUAAACAAUUUUUGUUUUUGUAGAAUAUCCAUUCCAACAUUUGGAGAUGGACUUAUUGAACUAUUCCGAAUGGAGGGGAAGAAGGGGUGUUUAACAAUAACAGAUAAGUAUAGCAAAUGGGUAGAAGCGUUCCCAACUUACUUGGUGGACAUGAUUAUGGUAGCUAGAAUAUUAGGACAAGAUAUUAUCCUUAGAUUUGGGGUACUGGAAUCUAUCUCUUUAAAUGAUGGAUGACAUUUUAGCUAAUCAGGUAGAGCCUAUAGAAUGCCAGAGUUAGGGAGAAUAGAGAUACCAGAACAGGUAGACAUAGAAGUUGAAGAAAUACUAGCAGAACACAUAAGAAGACUGUUAACCAAACCCGUAUGUCCAAGAUUUUGUGUCCAACAGGUGAAUUACAGGAGAAGGUGAUUCACUCAAUCCAACCAGGAGACUGGGUGUGGAUCCAGUCCCUGAGGAGAAAAAACUGGAAGCAGUCCCAUUGGGAAGGCCCAUAACAGGUGCUGUUAAACCAUUGCCUUUGCCAUUAGAAAAGCUGAGAGAGUCACUUGGGUCCACGUUAUCCACUGCAAGAAGGUAUGUACACAUAUAAGCACUGCUGAUCACACAGAGAGUUAGGAGAAGAACCGAGUACCAACAGGGUCCGGGGAUACCUCCUUAACGAAGAUUUCCUAUCCCGACCGUUCAUCACUGUGUGUGCUCCUAGAGGUGUGAGUAUGGGGUGGUACCAAGCAGAGAGACUAAGGGCAGGAGAGGGUUGGCGGCUUUUGGGAAGAGUAGAAACUCUGAGCUGCAUCAUAAUCUAAUCUUACUGAUACAUUCAGAUCCACCACCUUCUGGUACUAAUCAUACGAUACCGUUGUCAUUGAGUAGAAGUAGAAGAUAAACUAUAUAAUACACUGAUGAGUGACUUACAGAAUAAGGAGUCAAAGAAGAUCAAGAUGUAGGAUUUAAGGUAAACAUUAAACAACUUUCUGGGAAAGCAGACAACUGUACAGGGACUGGGUGGGCCAGAUUGAAGUACUCAGCCAACCCACCUAGGUUCACUUAAAUUCCUGAUGAGCACCAGUAUUAUAGAUACAAGAAUGGCACCGAGAACUUGGAUGAUUUUAAUAGCUGGAAAGUAAUUGCUAAUGUGACUGACUUAGGUUUGAAAGAUGAAUCGAAAAUUCUUAACCUCACAGCACCUAUAACUGAUGUAGGGUGGGCUAGUACCAGCAAAGAACGCAUACGACAGAAAAUACCACAAAGGGUGGUUAGGAACUUGCGCCCUGGGGUUAUUGGUCCAACCAGUACGAAUUAGUUAUCAGAGACCAGUUAUAGGAGGCUAAAGUAGGCACAGGAGGAGUUUUAACCAGGAUGGGAUUAGCUUUGUCUAGAUGGAUGCUAUUGGCAUCCUCAGGAAAGUGCCAGAUGAUACAAAGCUAUGAAUCAAAUAUGUGAAGGUUUUAACACUACAUUAUUUUGGUAGUUGACAAUAAAUAGAAAUGUGGAUUGGAUUAAUGACAUAUUUUAUAAUCAACAGAGAUUCAUGAAUGAAACCGGGGAUGCAGUAAAGAGGUUCUCUGACCAAUUAUCUGCCACCUCCCUCAUGACCUGGUAAAAUAGACUGACUCUCGAUAUGUUACUGGAAAAGAGGAUGGUGUAGGUAGAAUGAUUAGGUUCAUUGCUGUACGUACAUUCCAGAUAACACAGCUCAUGUUUGGGAAAUGAAAAAGUGUUGUAGGAACUGUAUUAUGGCCUGCUUUCACCUGUAUGAGGUUUAAUCACCAGAACUCUAGAGAGAUGGAUAACGGAGCAGAUGGUGAGAUACGGACCGAGUCAAAGUUCAGACCAAUGGGACAAUAAGUACCUACCGCCGAGCAAGUUGUCAGAGCAACCGGAGUGAUGCCUUUGAUGGAAUUGACCCCGGAGAACACUAAAUCCAGCUCUGGGCAAAAGAUGGGUCUGUCCGAGGACGAUCCUUAGUUUGCUGUUAAGGAAGUGGUUGAAUAAAGCGUAUCCACAGUAAUUUCAUAUGUAUUGAAUGUAGUGGUAGGUGGAUGUGAAGGUUUAAAAUACUGGGACAAAGUGUCUGUCCCACACAUGUUAGGUGUAGCCACUGUCGCAAGAAGGUCUUCUUUUUAUACGUUUUUUAAAUAAUAUGUUUUGAAUUUAUCCUGUGUACUAUUUGUCUUUCCUUAUGUGAAGGUUUGAAACUCCUGGGUGACUGGUAGUCAACCUAGUACAAGUGAGGUGUAGCCGGAAGGAUGUGAGGGUUUUUAACUAAUUAACUAAUCAUUAAAAUGGAGAUAUACAAAUUGUGUUGAGUGACACCCUAGGGGGUGUCAAAAGGGGGAAUCCUACAUUUCCCUGAAAUUUCUUAUUGGAGUAUGUUCACACCCCAAGGGGUGUGAAAAGUGGGAUUGUUAGGGUUGAACUGGCUAUUUGUUUGCAUAACCUAUAUAAUAUACCGGGGAAGCUAUGCUACAAUAUUAAGUAUAUAAACUACGGAUAAGUCAACUGCUGAAGACAAGAAUUACACCCGGCGACAGGAAGUGCGUCACUAGGCUGGGACCUGCCUGCACGCCGACGUUAGGAUGAGCAAGUUUAAACCACGCUCAUCCUCACCCUGACAGGCCAGCAUUGAGCGGGAACUAUCUCUGUCAGAGUAUAUAAGGGAGAACAAUAGGAUGUGACGCUCUCUUCUCUGUCUGCCCUGCGUGGUGUCACAGAGAGACCG
This 3219-nucleotide long non-coding RNA is filed under the name Salmo salar (Atlantic salmon). RNAcentral describes it as "lncRNA (ENSSSAG00000095601.1)". The record is from RNAcentral. Lineage: Eukaryota; Metazoa; Chordata; Actinopteri; Salmoniformes; Salmonidae.